AAGAAAGACUGCGAUACAAAAGUAUUCAUAAAAUCCAAUUUGAGAAAUAAAUGCGUGUAGGAAGUCCAGUGUGUUCUGAAUCUGUCCAUCAAAUUCAGAUGGAUUUUUAGUGUCACACGCAUCUGUGUGUUUUAGAUAUCUGUGGGAAAUAAUGUAAGCAUUGUUUCAUACUGUCUGCUGAAUGUAAUUAACUUCAAAUUAGAGCCCGGUGCCAAGCUGUUUGAUAGUAAUUAGUGAAAGGAGAGAUCCUCUCAGUAUUAGCAAUAUCCCUUGCAUGAGAAAUAAAAAAUGAAGGUGUUUAUGAAAGGUUGUCUUUCAGAUUUAAUAAUAAUGCUGACAAUGAUCUUGAGUAUCUUGUAGCCUUUCCCACCUUCAGAUUGCCUGACAUUACCUUCUUAACUAAUCACAUUUUUAUUCUGAAGUGUUUUCCUCUUCCUGCCAAGGAAAGUGGCUCUGUGUGGACAGCUGAAUGACAAAAGCAGUCGGAAAAAGGAACAUGUGCCUUACCACCAGAAGAGACCGAGUUCUGGGAAGCCGUGAGUCAGAUGAGGAUGUGGUGCCAGGGUGGAUCUGCAGCUGAAGAGUUCAUGGGACCAGGAUGUGGCUGACUCUUCACUGGAAAUGGGGGUGUAUAAUGCCAGACAGACAAUACAGGAGCCAACUGUUCUUGGGACAUAGUCAAGAAUGACCGUCCUUAAUGAAGACUAAUUGGAGGAGUAAAAGCAACCAACCUGCAUUCAUCGAAAGCAAGUCAUACCAGAACAAAGUGAUGACACUUCUUUGCCUGGGUAACCCACUUGAAGGAGAUGAGGGCCGUGCCAGUGUGCUGAGAACAGAGAUGGGAAAUGAAUCAACAUGCGACAAAGCUUGCUGGAACCAGCAAGGAUCUUCCCAUGGGUGUCAGCAAGCUUUCAUUCAGCUCCUUUCAUAGCAGAUUUUCUGAAAGAGCUGAGCUCCCCUACAGGGGCCAGAUUUGCAAAAGAGCAGAGCAGGUGGGAGGCUUCCGGGGAAAAUCUGUUGAUAAAUGCCAAGCAGAAGCAGCAGGGAUCUGAGCUUGCUGGAGGAGCUGAGGAGAUUUCCUGAAGCAUGCUUUCAGAGAUCGGUUCCCACCUACUUUCCCACCAAGCAAGCUGCCAAGAUGUAAUGGCCACUGAGAGCUGCUCUGCAGGCUUGUUUGGGAGAAUGUGUCCAGCAGAGAUUUGUCUACCCUCAGCUCUGCUAAUACACUCCAGUGCCAGAUCACUUUAUUAAUUAUUCCAGCUCUAAACCACACCAGGUCUGCAGUCACCUUCUGGCUCUACUUACUGCACCAAAGACACUCCAUGCAAGCAGAAUUUCCUCAGCACUUCCUUCAGGCUUAAGAGAAGCAUUCUGCAAGCCUGGAUGUGAUAAACUCUGGCACUACACCGCAUGGAGUUGAAGCCAGAUUCAAGCUUGGCAGGAAUCCGCUUAUCACUAUGGGGCAUGUGAACUACAGAGUCAUUAAGGUUGGAAAAGACCACUAAGAUCAUCUAAUCCAGCUGUCAACCCAUCGCCACCAUGCCCACGUGUAACUUAACUGUGCAGCCAUGGAGUCACUGCUGCUAUUCAGGCUCGAAGCCCCAGUUGAACUGGUUCCUUCCAUGGUGGAGUGCAUAUGAUUUAGAGGAGCUCACCUGCCUUUGCACAGCUCUCCCAGGAGAAGAAAUAAGAGAUUUAGCUAGCUCUGCCCUGCUUGCAGAAAUGAGGUUUGCACCACAUUUCUCUGCUGUGAGUACAAGAGCUCAUGUGCCUGCUUUGUGGAGAAAUGCACUUCUGUGCUUUGGAUGCACUAUUUUCCUUGACCUCUGGACUGGAAACCAUUUGUGUGGGUGGGAGUCCAGCCCAACUCUGUAAUUAGGAAAGCUAUUAAUAAUUAGAGAACUUGUUAUCUACCAGAGGAUGGAGAACUACACAUGCUAUCGCAAAAAUAAAUAAAUAAAUAAAUGAUCACCUCCUGUGGAAAGAGCUGUGGUUUGCACAAUGUUUUGAGAAACGUGUAGCUGAUCUGUCAUAAAUCAUGGAUUUCUUUGUUUGCUACACCAUCUUGGAUCAGUCCUGGCCAGCAAUAGGACAGAGCUGACAUUCUUCUGAAGAAAUAGUGGGAUCAUCUCCGUGUACCAGAAGGAAAACCAUACAAAUUACAGUUUAGAUUCUCUUUAUUUCCCUACUAGCUACCAGAACAUCAAGGAAACGCAACGUCUCAGACUUUUCAAACGUGAUAUCUAGGAGCACAUUUUUUUUUUUUUUUUAAGAAAAAAAGGAAAAAAUCCAGGACUGACACCAGAAACUGAAAAUUUCAGGGAGACAAAAACAACGACAAAAAAAUCCGUGAAGAGCUGUGAGGUUCAUAAUCACAAGGAGCAAUAAUCGCAAGAGAUAGCGAUAAUGGCAACGCUGCUGCCAGAGCCAGCAGGGCAGCAGAGGCUCAGCAGGCAGGGCUUGCCCUGGUGCCCUUCACCGGUCUUUUUUACUGGCUCAUUAAGUAGAACCGUUGCAAAAAGAAGAGAGUCAAAAUUGGUUUCCCCUCAGAAAGUCAGUUUAACAGAAUUAUCCACCCACAAAUAAGUGUCAAAACAAAUCUUUCCACCUUGCCCAGCUUGCUCCGAUAAUGUCAAGUCAGUGCAUCUCAGUCCUCCUGAUAAUUUGUUCCAGUGACAUAAAAUGCUGCUUCACAACUUUGUUUCAUUCCAUUUUAGCUUUAUUACAGACAAAUUAACAUUCAUUUUCGUUUUAAUGGACCUUACCAUUUGCAGCAUUAAUAUUUUGGAUUCAGUAUUUUUAAAGCCAAGUGUGCUCUGACUCUUUUGCUGUUUGCUGUUUCAGCAUUGCUGGAAGUAAAUGUCAAUCAACAUUAUUGCAAAUGGCAUGUUUGUCCAGCACUAAGAUGGGCUGAAAAUUUCAGAAAGAGAGCUUUUUAUUAAAAUCUCAGCUUUUUUUUAACUAUCUGUUCUAUUUUUGUAUAAAACCAGAGUUUGGAAUUUCCAGAACCUGCAGUGUGGUGAAAGAUCUAUUUUUUCCUACCAUUCAUUUUCAAAUGCAGACAGAUGCUAAUGACUUUACUUUCAAAGGUCUUCAAUUAAUUACCAUGUUGAUACUCAUUUAACAAGAUUUUCUGGCCCGCACCUGUUCCCCUGUACAAGACUUUGCCUUCCCACCAUCAUCCUGAUCCCCUCUCUCAGGCUCUCUGCUUGUCACUGCUACAUAAAUUACUUUCCACUUUCAGAGUGAAAGGGCAAACAGUGCUAUCAUGAUAAGAAACCCAAGAACAAGGAGUUGCUUUUGGGGCUUGCAGGGUG
Molecule: long non-coding RNA, 3317 nt
Organism: Gallus gallus (chicken)
Lineage: Eukaryota; Metazoa; Chordata; Aves; Galliformes; Phasianidae
Exons: 5
Source: RefSeq, a predicted model, not a curated record